Molecule: ribosomal RNA, 2826 nt
Filed under: human oral metagenome
Description: bacterial LSU rRNA
Rfam family: Bacterial large subunit ribosomal RNA
Source: RNAcentral
AGGGCAUACGGUGGAUGCCUAGGCGCUAAGAGCCGAAGAAGGACGCGGUAAGCUGCGAAAAGCUACGAGGAGUCGCAAGCAGACGAAGAAUCGUAGAUAUCCGAAUGGGAAAACCCUGCUGGAGUAAUAUCCAGUAAUCCCAUGCUGAACAAAAUAGGCAUGCGGAAGGCAACCCGGAGAACUGAAACAUCUAAGUACCCGGAGGAAAAGAAAGAAAACUCGAUUCCCCCAGUAGCGGCGAGCGAAAAGGGAAAAGCCCAAACCGGAGCAAUCCGGGGUUAGGACAUUCAAAAAGUAUCAGAGCCCAGUCGAAUGGUGUGGGAAAAUCAGCCAAAGAAGGUGAGAGCCCUGUAGACGAAAGGUAAAGAUGUGGGAAUGAAUCCAGAGUAGCACGGAGCACGAGGAAUUCCGUGUGAAGGAGCGGGGACCACCCCGUAAGGCUAAAUACUCCUUAGCGACCGAUAGAGAACAAGUACCGUGAGGGAAAGGUGAAAAGCACCUCGGAAGAGGAGUGAAAAAGAACCUGAAACCGUAUGCUUACAAUCAGUCACAGCCCUUAGGGGUAGUGGCGUACUUUUUGUAGAACGGACCAGCGAGUUACAUAUACUAGCAAGGUUAAGAAAUACGGAGCCAAAGCGAAAGCGAGUCUGAAAAGGGCGUCAAGUUAGUGUGUGUAGACCCGAAACCAGGUGAUCUACCCAUGAGCAGGUUGAAGCGUUAGUAAAAUAACGUGGAGGACCGAACCAGGACACGUUGAAAAGUGUUUGGAUGACUUGUGGGUAGGGGUGAAAUUCCAAUCGAACCUGGAGAUAGCUGGUUCUCCUCGAAAUAGCUUUAGGGCUAGCCUCGUAGAGAGAUAUAUGGAGGUAGAGCACUGAAUGGGUGCGGGGGCUUCACCGCCUACCAAAUCUUAUCAAACUCCGAAUGCCAUAUAUCAUGUACGGGAGUCAGACUAUGGGGGAUAAGCUUCAUAGUCGAAAGGGAAAGAGCCCAGACCGCCGUCUAAGGUCCCCAAGUGAUUGUUAAGUGGAAAAGGAUGUGAAACCGCAGAGACAACCAGGAUGUUGGCUUAGAAGCAGCCAUCAUUAUAAAGAGUGCGUAAUAGCUCACUGGUCCAGGGGUUUUGCGCCGAAAAUGUAACGGGGCUCAAACAAUACACCGAAGACGCGGAAUGACAUAUAGAUGUCAUUGGUAGAGGAGCGAUCCAUAGAGGGCGAAGCUUGAGUGAAAACGAAGGUGGACAAUAUGGAAGAGAGAAUGCUGGUAUAAGUACACGAUAAAAGAGGUGAGAAUCCUCUUCGCCGAAAAUCUAAGGAUUCCUGGGGAAGGCUCGUCCGCCCAGGGUAAGUCGGGACCUAAGGCAAGGCCGAAAGGCGUAGUCGAUGGAAAACAGGUAGAAAUUCCUGUACCACCGAAAGCCGUUAAGAGAGAAGCAAUGACGCAGAAGGAUAGAGCGAGCGCCCAGUUGGUGAGGCGUUUAAGUAAGUAGGGAGAAACGUAGGGAAGUCCGCGUUUUGAGAUCCUGAGAUACGAAUACGAGUGAAAAUAAGUAACGAAGUCCUCGAUUCCCCGCUGCCAAGAAAAGUUGCUAUCAAGGCUAGAGGUGCCCGUACCGCAAACCGACACAGGUAGAUAGGUAGAGAAUACUAAGGCGCGCGAGAUAACUCUUGUUAAGGAACUCGGCAAAAUAAACCCGUAACUUCGGGAGAAGGGUUGCUCUCCAUUGUGAGUACGAGCAGUACAGAGCAAAGGAGAGUCGCAGAGAAAAGGUCCAGGCGACUGUUUAGCAAAAACACAGGUCUUUGCAAAAUCGAAAGAUGAAGUAUAAAGGCUGACGCCUGCCCGGUGCUGGAAGGUUAAGGGGAAGAGUGCAAGCUUUGAACCGAAGCCCCAGUAAACGGCGGCCGUAACUAUAACGGUCCUAAGGUAGCGAAAUUCCUUGUCGGGUAAGUUCCGACCCGCACGAAAGGCGAAACGAUCUGGACGCUGUCUCAACAAGGGACUCGGUGAAAUUGAAAUACCGGUAAAGAUGCCGGUUACCUGCGAUAGGACAGAAAGACCCCAUGGAGCUUUACUGUAGCUUGAUAUUGGGUUUCGGACAUUUAUGUACAGGAUAGGUGGGAGACAGAGAGACGUGUUCGCCAGAAUGCGAGGAGUCACUGGUGGGAUACCACCCUUAAAUGUUUGGAAUUCUAACGAGGCGUGUCAGCCACGUCUUGGACAGUGUCAGGUGGGCAGUUUGACUGGGGCGGUCGCCUCCCAAAAGGUAACGGAGGCGCUCAAAGGUUCCCUCAGAACGGAUGGAAAUCGUUCGAAGAGUGUAAAGGCAAAAGGGAGCUUGACUGCGAGAGCAACAACUCGAGCAGGUAGGAAACUAGGACUUAGUGAUCCGGCGGUUGCGAGUGGAAGUGCCGUCGCUCAACGGAUAAAAGCUACCCUGGGGAUAACAGGCUUAUCUCCCCCAAGAGUUCACAUCGACGGGGAGGUUUGGCACCUCGAUGUCGGCUCAUCGCAUCCUGGGGCUGAAGUAGGUCCCAAGGGUUGGGCUGUUCGCCCAUUAAAGCGGUACGCGAGCUGGGUUCAGAACGUCGUGAGACAGUUCGGUCCCUAUCCAUCGCAGGCGGAGGAAAUUUGAAGGGAGCUGACCCUAGUACGAGAGGACCGGGUUGGACAUACCGCUGGUGAACCAGUUGUCUUGCCAAAGGCAUAGCUGGGUAGCUAAGUAUGGAAAAGAUAAACGCUGAAAGCAUCUAAGCGUGAAGCGAACCUUAAGAUGAGAUUUCCCUAGCGAAAGCUAAUAAGACAGCAGAGAGAAUAACUGCUUGA